GAUGAACGCUGGCGGCGUGCCUCAAACAUGCAAGUCGAGCGGGGCUAUGUAAUAUCGCAAGGUAGAACAUAGCCUAGCGGCGAACGGGUGAGUAACACGUGGGUAACCUGCCUGGAAGACAGGGAUAACGAUUCGAAAGGGUCGCUAAUACCUGAUAAUAUCCUUUCAUCGCAUGGUGAUAGGAAGAAAGGGGAAACCCGCUUUCAGAUGGGCCCGCGUCCCAUCAGCUAGUUGGUAAGGUAAAGGCUUACCAAGGCGACGACGGGUAGCCGGUCUGAGAGGAUGUACGGCCACACUGGGACUGAGAUACGGCCCAGACUCCUACGGGAGGCAGCAGUUGGGAAUCUUAGGCAAUGGACGAAAGUCUGACCUAGCGACGCCGCGUGAGGGAAGAAGGCCUUCGGGUUGUAAACCUCUGUCAUGGGGGAAGAAGUAAGUGACGGUACCCCAAGAGGAAGCCCUGCUAACUACGUG
Molecule: ribosomal RNA, 474 nt
Filed under: uncultured bacterium
Lineage: Bacteria
Description: bacterial SSU rRNA
Rfam family: Bacterial small subunit ribosomal RNA
Source: RNAcentral